Molecule: ribosomal RNA, 396 nt
Filed under: uncultured bacterium
Lineage: Bacteria
Description: partial 16S ribosomal RNA
Rfam family: Bacterial small subunit ribosomal RNA
Source: RNAcentral
AUACGUAGGUGGCAAGCGUUGUCCGGAAUUAUUGGGCGUAAAGCGCAUGUAGGCGGUAAUUUAAGUCUGUCGUGAAACUGCGGGGCUCAGCCCCGUAUGGCGAUGGAAACUGGGUUACUUGAGUGCAGGAGAGGAAAGGGGAACUCCCAGUGUAGCGGUGAAAUGCGUAGAUAUUGGGAAGAACACCGGUGGCGAAGGCGCCUUUCUGGACGGUGUCUGACGCUGAGAUGCGAAAGCCAGGGUAGCGAACGGGAUUAGAUACUCCGGUAGUCCUGGCCGUAAACGAUGGGUACUAGGUGUGGGAGGUAUCGACCCCUUCCGUGCCGGAGUUAACGCAAUAAGUACCCCGCCUGGGGAGUACGGCCGCAAGGCUUAAACUCAAAUGAAUUGACGGGG